GCAAACUUGGUCAUUUAGAGGAAGUAAAAGUCGUAACAAGGUUUCCGUAGGUGAACCUGCGGAAGGAUCAUUAUUGAAUAAACUUGGUUGGGUUGUUGCUGGCUCUUAGGAGCAUGUGCACGCCUACUCCAUUUUUAACCACCUGUGCACCUUGUAUAGAUCUGAAUAGCCCUUGAAUUGCUUUGUGAAAACGUAGCUCUUCUAGUGUUCAUUCAGGUUUAUAUUUUACUACACCCCAUACGAAUGUAUUUGAAUGUAUUUAACAGGCCAUCGUGCCUCUAAACAUAAAUACAACUUUCAACAACGGAUCUCUUGGCUCUCGCAUCGAUGAAGAACGCAGC
This 341-nucleotide unclassified non-coding RNA is filed under the name uncultured fungus. Its description in RNAcentral is "partial contains small subunit ribosomal RNA, internal transcribed spacer 1, and 5.8S ribosomal RNA". The stretch from base 1 to 73 matches the Rfam family "Eukaryotic small subunit ribosomal RNA", at positions 1759 to 1831 of the family's 1831-position model. The record is from RNAcentral. Lineage: Eukaryota; Fungi.